RNAcentral lists this non-coding RNA (29 nucleotides) under Mus musculus (house mouse). Lineage: Eukaryota; Metazoa; Chordata; Mammalia; Rodentia; Muridae. The record is from RNAcentral.
UCCAGAGUGAAGUUUGCUUUGGCUGGUCC